CUGCCCAGUGAUAUUUUUUUUAAAUGGCCGCAGUACCUUGACUGUGCUAAGGUAGCAUAAUCAAUUGGCUUCUAAUUAGAGUCUAGAAUGAAAGGAAUUAUGAGGUAAUUCUGUCUUAAAAGAUUUUUUUUUAAUUUAUUUAAAUGAUGAAAAUAUCAUUUUUUAGAAAAAAGACGAGAAGACCCUUAGAGUUUAAUUUUUUAAUUUUGUUGGGGCGACAAGUAAACAUUUUGAACUUUACUAAUUAAUUUAAUCGAUUUAUAAUAAAAAUAAAAAAACUACCUUAGGGAUAACAGCAUUAUAUUUUUAUAUGAUUGUGACCUCGAUGUUGGACUAGGAACUUUAUGGCUAGCCGUCAAAAAAGAUUUGUUCUGUUCGAACAAUAUUAUCCUACGUGAUCUGAGUUCAGACCGGA
RNAcentral lists this ribosomal RNA (415 nucleotides) under Biomphalaria tenagophila. Its description in RNAcentral is "partial 16S ribosomal RNA". It matches the Rfam family "Bacterial large subunit ribosomal RNA", at positions 1859 to 2620 of the family's 2925-position model. The record is from RNAcentral. Lineage: Eukaryota; Metazoa; Mollusca; Gastropoda; Planorbidae.